AACGAACGCUGGCGGCAGGCCUAACACAUGCAAGUCGAGCGCUGUAGCAAUACAGAGCGGCAGACGGGUGAGUAACGCGUGGGAAUCUUCCCAAUGGUACGGAAUAGCUCAGGGGAAACUUGGGGUAAUACCGUAUAAGCCCGAAAGGGGAAGAUUUAUCGCCAUUGGAUGAGCCCGCGUCUGAUUAGCUAGUUGGUGAGGUAAUGGCUCACCAAGGCGACGAUCAGAGCUGGUCUGAGAGGAUGACCAGCCACACUGGGACUGAGACACGGCCCAGACUCCUACGGGAGGCAGCAGUGGGGAAUAUUGGACAAUGGGCGAAAGCCUGAUCCAGCCAUGCCGCGUGAGUGACGAAGGUCUUCGGAUUGUAAAGCGUCUUUUGGCGGGGACGAUAAUGACGGUAACCCGCAGAAUAAGCCCCGGCUAACUUCGUGCC
Molecule: ribosomal RNA, 436 nt
Filed under: uncultured bacterium
Lineage: Bacteria
Description: bacterial SSU rRNA
Rfam family: Bacterial small subunit ribosomal RNA
Source: RNAcentral